This 254-nucleotide ribosomal RNA is filed under the name uncultured bacterium. Its description in RNAcentral is "partial 16S ribosomal RNA". It matches the Rfam family "Bacterial small subunit ribosomal RNA", at positions 524 to 776 of the family's 1533-position model. The record is from RNAcentral.
UACGAAGGGGGCUAGGCGUUGCUCGGAAUCACUGGGCGUAAAGGGCGCGUAGGCGGAUCUUUAAGUCGGGGGUGAAAGCCUGAGGCUCAACCUCAGAAUUGCCUUCGAUACUGGAGAUCUUGAGACCGGAAGAGGUAAGUGGAACUGCGAGUGUAGAGGUGAAAUUCGUAGAUAUUCGCAAGAACACCAGUGGCGAAGGCGGCUUACUGGUCCGGUUCUGACGCUGAGGCGCGAAAGCGUGGGGAGCAAACAGG